Molecule: ribosomal RNA, 498 nt
Filed under: Neisseria weaveri
Lineage: Bacteria; Pseudomonadati; Pseudomonadota; Betaproteobacteria; Neisseriales; Neisseriaceae
Description: bacterial SSU rRNA
Rfam family: Bacterial small subunit ribosomal RNA
Source: RNAcentral
GAGUUUGAUCAUGGCUCAGAUUGAACGCUGGCGGCAUGCUUUACACAUGCAAGUCAGACGGCAGCACAGAGAAGCUUGCUUCUUGGGUGGCGAGUGGCGAACGGGUGAGUAAUAUAUUGGAACGUACCGAGUAAUGGGGGAUAACUUGCCGAAAGGUAAGCUAAUACCGCAUACGCUCUGAGGAGGAAAGCAGGGGACCUUCGGGCCUUGCGUUAUUCGAGCGGCCAAUAUCUGAUUAGCUAGUUGGUGGGGUAAAGGCCUACCAAGGCGACGAUCAGUAGCGGGUCUGAGAGGAUGAUCCGCCACACUGGGACUGAGACACGGCCCAGACUCCUACGGGAGGCAGCAGUGGGGAAUUUUGGACAAUGGGCGCAAGCCUGAUCCAGCCAUGCCGCGUGUCUGAAGAAGGCCUUCGGGUUGUAAAGGACUUUUGUCAGGGAAGAAAAGGUUGUGGCUAAUAUCCAUGACUGAUGACGUACCUGAAGAAUAAGCACCGCA